Molecule: ribosomal RNA, 468 nt
Filed under: uncultured bacterium
Lineage: Bacteria
Description: partial 16S ribosomal RNA
Rfam family: Bacterial small subunit ribosomal RNA
Source: RNAcentral
GACGAACGCUGGCGGCGUGCUUAACACAUGCAAGUCGAACGGAAAGGCCCUACUUUUGUGGAGUGCUUGAGUGGCGAACGGGUGAGUAACACGUGAGUAACCUGCCCUAGACUUUGGUAUAACUUCAGGAAACUGCGGCUAAUACCGGAUAGGAUACUCUCCUGCAUGGGGGGGGUUGGAAAAUUUCGGCGGUUGGGGAUGGACUCGCGGCUUAUCAGCUUGUUGGUGGGGUAGUGGCUGACCAAGGCAGAGACUGGUAGCCGGCCUGAGAGCGGGACCGGGCACAAGGGGCCUGCGGGAGGGAGCAGUGUGGAAUGUGGGGCAGCAGGGGGAAACAUUGUACAACGGUAGCAAGUCGGAGGAGGAGACGUCCGGGGUGGGAAGACCUCUUGUUGGGUAAAAAAAGCAGCAGGUUAAGACCAAGCGGUAGUGACGGUACCCGAAGAAGAAGCACCGGCUAACUACGUG